AGUUAUUAGUACUCGUGUUUCAUCGCUUUCAAUACCAGACAAUAGAAAAAUCUCAGCCGUUGUGCACUUCUUAAAUCAAAUUCUCGCUUCUCUUCUUCUCCAUAAAAGUCGCAGAAGAAAAGCAAACAGAGCAGCAAACAAACAGGCACUUGUCGCGCUCCUUCUUUGCAUGACUUUUGACACACCACCGCCCGGCGUGAGGAAGCCAUUGCCAGUCCCUCUUCAACGCGUACCUGCGGCACACACAGCGCAAUGCCUAGAGUGCUGAGCAAAUCAGCGAGCACAAAACAAAAGCCCCCAUGAAUGGCAGUUUGAGGGCUGUUCAUUUGCUCGCCAAAAUGGAGCUCCUGCUGGUUGGCAGGUAAACACGCUGCCUCGAUGGGCAUCGCAGAUCAAUUCGAUUGCUGCUCUUGUGUGUUUUUCCCCUUGGCACAUUGCGUGGGGUGGCACCUGUUCAUUUGAUUAAAUGAAUAUCAAGGCGGGAGAAAGAGGACACCAUCUGGCUUUCAGGCAACUGCAAUAAAGAAAAACAGCUGGCACAAUGGCACAUAACUAACGAUUUUUUCUUUUUUUUUUUAUAUCAGAAGACUAAGGAAUCAUGCCCAUAACUCUGCACAAAUUGCCAAACAGAAGCUGGAGCUGAAGGUCAUGGAGCAACCGACAAGACACGCCCUCCCAUUUAUACGUCUUGCUGUCAAAUUUAUUGUGUCAUCAAAUCCUUUGCAAGUACAUCUUUCUGUGCUCAACCCUUUUGCUUUGUUUUAGGCAAGUGCAAAAAGGUCAGCAGUCAAAUUAUGGACACCCAGGCCUUGUCAAUGGCCGAGACGUGGACCGGCGGCCGAGGGUUGAAUGCCCGCCAGUGCAUCCAAAAUCCGCAGCCACGGAUGGGCCAUAACAUACGUAAAUCCGUAUUGGGCCACAAUUAAACACUUGGAUUCUGGGCACGACUCUGACUCUGUAUCCCCAGGGGCACGAAUCCUACCCGUACUUAGACACAUUUGCAUCCAUUUACGGCUCUUUUUAUUUCGACGGCCAUUAAAAUGUUUAAUUAGCGCUUCGCAGAUAAUUCUGGCAAAUGUUUUCCAUGUUCCAUGUGCUCCACAUGGCAUCGUUUGGCAUCCGAUUUCUAAUUCCAGGAAUACGAGCGGAGCAGAGCAGAGCAGAGCAGCGCAGCGCAGAGAGUUUUAACUUUAAAUUGGAUUAUUUGCAGCCCUUUGGGAGGCAGGUUUAUGAUAACCGUAACACGAAUUGUAAAGGGAAUUUGUAGAGAGUUCUUUCAGCCAGAGCUAGAUGUUCGGGGGGUGCACAAAUUGUUAGGGAAAAUUGUGAAUUCGAUCGCCAAUUUGUUUUCUACUUUAAAGAAAUCGAAAUAAAGUCCUCGUCAGCGUCAGCAUUUGACACUAACAAACGUACCUGUCUGUGGCUACUGCGCCCACAAAGUGUCCUGCCGUGUCCCUUCUGAUUGGAUUGAAAUUGAAACCGGGCAGCACCCUUGGGAAUUGCGUUACAGGAAACAACCGAGACCGAGACCGAGACCGAGUCCAAGUCCAAGUCCGUGCUGAUUGAUUGACAAUAGAAUGAUUUGCCUGUAAUUGCUGCUACGAACAAUGACAUGGGAUUGGCACAAGAAAGAAAAAUGAUAAGGAUG
This 1648-nucleotide long non-coding RNA is filed under the name Drosophila guanche. The record is from RNAcentral. Lineage: Eukaryota; Metazoa; Arthropoda; Insecta; Diptera; Drosophilidae.